UACGGAGGAUGCGAGCGUUAUCCGGAUUUAUUGGGUUUAAAGGGUGCGUAGGCGGCGCUUCAGGUCAGCGGUGAAAUACCGGGGCUCAACCCCGGGGCUGCCGUUGAAACCGGAGCGCUAGAAUUCCGAUGCCGUCGGAGGAAUGUGUGGUGUAGCGGUGAAAUGCAUAGAUAUAACUUAGAACUCCGAUAGCGAAGGCAGCUUACCAGACUGCGACUGACGCUGAAGCACGAGAGCGUGGGUAGCGAACAGG
Molecule: ribosomal RNA, 253 nt
Filed under: uncultured bacterium
Lineage: Bacteria
Description: partial 16S ribosomal RNA
Rfam family: Bacterial small subunit ribosomal RNA
Source: RNAcentral